Molecule: ribosomal RNA, 253 nt
Filed under: uncultured bacterium
Lineage: Bacteria
Description: partial 16S ribosomal RNA
Rfam family: Bacterial small subunit ribosomal RNA
Source: RNAcentral
UACGUAGGGGGCGAGCGUUGUCCGGAUUUAUUGGGCGUAAAGAGCUCGUAGGCGGCUUGUCGCGUCGAAUGUGAAAACUCGGGGCUCAACCCCGCGCUUGCAUUCGAUACGGGCAGGCUCGAGUUCGGUAGGGGAGACUGGAAUUCCUGGUGUAGCGGUGAAAUGCGCAGAUAUCAGGAGGAACACCGGUGGCGAAGGCGGGUCUCUGGGCCGAUACUGACGCUGAGGAGCGAAAGCGUGGGGAGCGAACAGG